This 398-nucleotide long non-coding RNA is filed under the name Salvia miltiorrhiza (redroot sage). Its description in RNAcentral is "long non-coding RNA (SMIL_LNC007426)". The record is from RNAcentral. Lineage: Eukaryota; Viridiplantae; Streptophyta; Magnoliopsida; Lamiales; Lamiaceae.
GUUCAAAAUGAUAGUCCAUGCAAAUGAAAAUUUAUUUCAAGUUAAACCAGAAUGAGAAAACUAUCUUGCAAUUUACAGUCUCAAUCAAAAGGUAGAGGAAGUCAUAGCAUAAAACCACAUAUAAUAGAAAUGUAAAAAACAUGAGUAGAGUUGGAGACUGACUGUCUGAAACAAUUUGGUAUCCACAUGCACCCUCUUCAACCUUCAAUAUAAUAAUCCUAUCAACAAAAGUUCCAACAAAGAAUAUAUAGGAAAUUAAAAAAUUAUGACAAGAGGUUGAGCAAAAUCAUGAUGGAGAAAAUAGAUACUCACUCAUUCCUUCUUCACUGAUCCCUUGCUUCACCUUCUAUUUCUUUAAAGACACCUCAAACACAACUGUUAAAUAACCCACCAAUCAU